AGUGAACGCUGGCGGCAGGCCUAACACAUGCAAGUCGAGCGGCAGCGGGUCCCCGCGAGGGGAUGCCGGCGAGCGGCGGACGGGUGAGGAACACAUCGGAAUCUGCCUGGUUGUGGGGGAUAACGUAGGGAAACUUACGCUAAUACCGCAUGAGACCCUGAGUCGACGGACUGGGGGUGAAAGUGAGGGACCUUCGGGCCUCACGCGACCAGAUGAGCCGAUGUCGGAUUAGCUAGUUGGCGGGGUAACGGCCCGCCAAGGCGACGAUCCGUAGCUGGUCUGAAAGGAUGAUCAGCCACACUGGGACUGAGACACGGCCCAGACUCCUACGGGAGGCAGCAGUGGGGAAUCUUGGACAAUGGGCGCAAGCCUGAUCCAGCCAUGCCGCGUGGGUGAAGAAGGCC
This 404-nucleotide ribosomal RNA is filed under the name uncultured bacterium. RNAcentral's name for it is "bacterial SSU rRNA". It matches the Rfam family "Bacterial small subunit ribosomal RNA", at positions 30 to 416 of the family's 1533-position model. The record is from RNAcentral.